This is a long non-coding RNA of Jaculus jaculus (lesser Egyptian jerboa), 1249 nucleotides long. RefSeq lists it as uncharacterized. NCBI's taxonomy places the organism in Eukaryota, Metazoa, Chordata, Mammalia, Rodentia, Dipodidae. The record is from RefSeq and is a predicted model, not a curated record. The transcript is spliced from 3 exons.
AAGACACGUCAGCGCCCUCCAGGCACACCUGGAGUGCCCCCUUCCCUGGCACCCAGGCCCUGUCCUAGCGUGGCGCGAUCUCGCUCCUCCUGGGGAGCAGCUGGCCCAGCUUGGCUGGAGCUGAAAUGUAGAGAGAAGCCACGUCAAAAACGUGACGGAAACGCAACAGACAGGCUUGAUCCCAGCUGGGAAUGGGGGAACCCAGUUCCGGACAGGAGGAGAGGCCGAGGGAAGAGAUGCUCUCUGCGAUUACCCCUUGCACCCCGCCCGGGCUCGGGCCUGCAGCUUCGAGGGAUCCUGACCCUCCCGCGGCCACCACGUCUUUCCCCGCUUGAGAAAACCCCCGAUUGUAGCAAGAUAAAAACCGAGUAGGCUGGGGGCGGAGAGGAAAGGGGCUGACGGACCGGGAGAAGAUAGGGGAUUUCUGCUUUCGAGUUGAACCGGGCACCCGUGAGGGGGAUGGUAACUGGAGGGGUCUCUCUCACUCUCCUGGCCUUGGCAAUUUGGGGACAAAUAAGGAAAAAAAGAAAGGACUGAGGCUCCCCAGCGGGGAGGCGCAGUUACCCCAGUUGCACCCGCGGCGUGGCUGAGCGCCCUGAGCGCGCUCUUUCGGGUCCUGGCCUCUCCUCCCAGAAGGUUCUGGAGGCUUAACUGCUGAAGCCCUUGAGACCCUGGUCCCCGCACCCAGUAAAGUCGUGAACCAGACACUUGUACGCUUGGACCACGGAAUCUUAGCAUUUGGGGCAUACAAGGUGGUGCCCUGGAGACUCGGGCCGCCGGCCUCGGUCACCUGUCCCAUUUCCCCCGACCACCCAGCGAGCACAAGCGCUUUUCCCGAGCCCCGAGCGGGCGCCAGCCCCUGGGCGCUUGCCCCAGCACUGCCCCAGCUGCUCCCGGUGUGCGCUUCCGUAGAAGAUGGGCUUUAUCCUGGGGAUAAAUUGGGAUGUGACUGUGGAGGGGCCAAUUCACCCUGGGCACCAAGGGCAGCGGGGAGGUGGGAAGUGUUGCGUAGCCAGGGCAGGUAAAACCGGGAAGGAUGGUUCUGCCCCAGAUCCCGGGGAUGGCAGGGACGGGAUUUUUAAAAACUUGAAUCCUCGCUGCCUUUGGCCGCUCUAGUGAACCCCUAGAAAAAAGCUGAGAAUAUUCCUGGCUCUGUUAGUGCGAAGCAAGGCUUCGGGUGCACCCCAGGCUUCUCCCCAGGCUCUGGGCUAGCGCUUGGCUCACCGCCGCCCACCACCUUGUGAAUCCC